AUGGGAGCGUAGCGUGCGUAUGGGGUAGUAUAUAGAGUAGAGGCCCAGGGACCAGAUAGAUCUGGAGUAGGGGCCAUCUGGGAUGCUGCUUAUAAGGACCAAGUGACAGAGAGGACAUAAAAGCAGAGCUGGGAAGGGGAGAUGCUGGGAGAAACAGUGAGACAAACUGGGAGGUCAACUAAAGCCCCGCCAAAUUGACAUUGUGGUCUUCAUCGUUCUUGCCCUUUUAAGUGAACAGAAUUAGCUCCAUCAGUCAGAAUCCAUCAGGAAGCAGCCAGUACACUGAAGAGGUAAAGUCAAAGAGAGGUUAAUAAAGGGGGUAUUUAGAGAAAGUAAGAGAAACCAAUAGGGGCUGGUGAAGCACCUCGGGCUAGCAGUAGGUGGAGGUGCUGCUACUCCUGGGCUUGAAGGCCAAGGGGACAAGAGCAGAUACAGGAACACCCUGAGAGCUUUAGCUCUAGGACAGGCCCCUAACAGGACCUGUGACCUUUGCAAGAGAAACACGGCCACUGCCAGCCUGCAGCGUGGUAGGAAGUGAGCCGGUGGAUAAACACUCCAAGUUCUCUUUUUUUCACCCUUUGAUUUCCUGCCACUCACAUCGGUUUCAUCCAACCAGAUGCCAAAAGGCGAGGGAGUCAGCUCAUGUUAUCAGCAGCCUGGAUGCAGAGCAGACAAGGAUGGAUCUGAGGGGCAAAGAGAGCAUCCUCUGCCUUUAUCCACAGGUGUACUUAGAAACUGCUGGGAACACAACCCACGAUGCUAUCCAUAGGGAAAUAUCUAAAUAAACUGUGAUGUGUCCAUACUAGGAAAUCCUAGGCAGAAGUUGAAAAGACAGAAUAAAUCAGUAGUUAUUGCUAUGGAGAGAUUGCUGAGAUCUAUUGUUGAGUGGUGAAGCAAAUUGCAGAAAAAUGCCUAGAGUAGGAUGGCAUGUUUACGAUACUCACCCCCGCCCCCCACCACCACAUACACUAUCAUAAGUCUAUUAAGGUGCAGCACGGUGGCUCACGCCUGUAAUCCCAACAUUUUGGGAGGCCGAGGCAGGCAGAUCACCUGAGGUCAGGAGUUCCGGACCAGCCUGGCCAACAUGGUGAAACCCCAUCUCUACUAAAAAUACAAAAAUUAGCCGGGCAUGAUGGCGUGUGCCUGUAAUCUCAGCUACUCUGGGAGGCUGAGGCAGGAGGAUCGCUUGAACCUGGGAGGUGGAGGUUGCAGUGACCCGAGAUCACGCCAUUGCAUUCCAGCUGUGGCGGCAAGAACGAAACUUUGCCUCAAAAAAAAAAAAAAGUCUAUUAAAUGCCCCAUGUCUUUUAUGGUAUUUUGUUAUAUGUAUAUGUCCAUAUGCAAAGUUUGGAAUAACAUACAUCAAACUGGUAAGAGUGGUUUGCUCUGGAGAGGUGGGAGGCAGUUCAAGAUUUGGGGGGUGGUCAAAGGGGACUUCAGUUGUGGUAGAUAGUACUGGCUGCUUAAUAACAGCCAUUUCCCACUCACCCCCUUCUUUAAUGCUAACAACUCAAAUCUUAUUCAGGUAUCAAAGGGCAGCAUUGUGCUCAGGGAAGGUAGGUCCAGGUGUCAAAUCACGAUUGAGCUAAGCCAAGUAUGCUUAUACCACUCCCCUUUGCCUGUGAUUUGUCUAGGGGUAGGCAUGUGACCUAGUCUGCUGUUGACUUUUUUUUUUUUGGCUUCCAAUUCCAUUUUAAUUUUGUUUCUUUGUAUGUCUUUCCUUAAAUAUAUAGUCCAUCGCCUUGGCUUAGUGCAUGUCACCAAAAAUUCUCCAGGAAUUUCAUAGUUUGGACCUUGGUGGCAUGGCUGGCCCUGGAUUAUCCAUGCAGGGAGGCCUGAUCCUGUGACAGCUGGCUGCAGCAGGGGGCUGCCCAUCUUCUGUGCUUUGUGGUACAUAUCUGUGUCACCAAAGUAGCGGCCUCGGUACAGCAAGCCUUUCAUCUGCUGCUUCUCCGUCCAGCAGUUGUUCCAGAGGUUGGCGAUAUAAUCAUCUUUCACAUUCGGUUUGACUGUUUGGAGGCUGGAGCCUGUGUACUCCUCGGAGAAAAUGCCUGCCACAUAGUAGAUGACACUCAGGUGGUCAGUGACUCGCCUGUGAUGUGGCCCACAAACAGUCUUGGGCUCAGACUGUAGGGUGGACUGGAGACCAUGAGCUGGCUGAGAGCUGACAUGAGGAUGAGGAUGGGUAUCAGCUGCACGAACACCCGCAAGCUGCCGUCACUCCGCUUCUCCCUGCAGCCCUGCCUUUGCUGAUUUAUAUUCCUCAUAGUCUACACCAAAGAGCCCAGGGUGGAGUGGAAGAUGCUGCAGAGUUAUUGCAAGGGGGUCUGUGACCCGUGCAACAAGCCCUGCCUGUAGAGCAAAUAUAUCUUGCCUUACGCAUGUACGUUCUACUAUUUUUCAAAUGCAUAUUUCACACUUCUAUGUUCUACUGUUUUUCAAAUAUAUAUAAAUACUACUGUGAUUACAAUAAAGGGAUU
This 2480-nucleotide long non-coding RNA is filed under the name Homo sapiens (human). Its description in RNAcentral is "long intergenic non-protein coding RNA 2934". The record is from RNAcentral. Lineage: Eukaryota; Metazoa; Chordata; Mammalia; Primates; Hominidae.